Molecule: non-coding RNA, 23 nt
Filed under: Rattus norvegicus (Norway rat)
Lineage: Eukaryota; Metazoa; Chordata; Mammalia; Rodentia; Muridae
Source: RNAcentral
CACUAGUAAAGGAUGGCAGUGAA